CCUACGGGGGGCAGCAGUGAGGAAUAUUGGUCAAUGGACGAGAGUCUGAACCAGCCAAGUAGCGUGAAGGAUGACUGCCCUAUGGGUUGUAAACUUCUUUUAUAUGGGAAUAAAACGUUCCACGUGUGGGAUUUUGUAUGUACCAUAUGAAUAAGGAUUGGCUAACUCCGUGCCAGCAGCCGCGGUAAUACGGAGGAUCCGAGCGUUAUCCGGAUUUAUUGGGUUUAAAGGGAGCGUAGGUGGAUUGUUAAGUCAGUUGUGAAAGUUUGCGGCUCAACCGUAAAAUUGCAGUUGAAACUGGCAGUCUUGAGUACAGUAGAGGUGGGCGGAAUUCGUGGUGUAGCGGUGAAAUGCUUAGAUAUCACGAAGAACUCCGAUUGCGAAGGCAGUUCACUGGACUGCAACUGACACUGAGGCUCGAAAGUGUGGGUAUCAAACAGGAUUAGAUACCCCUGUAGUC
RNAcentral lists this ribosomal RNA (460 nucleotides) under uncultured bacterium. RNAcentral's name for it is "partial 16S ribosomal RNA". It matches the Rfam family "Bacterial small subunit ribosomal RNA", at positions 338 to 795 of the family's 1533-position model. The record is from RNAcentral.